UACAUAGGUGGCGAGCGUUACUCGGAAUUACUAGGCGUAAAGCGCGUGUAGGCGGGAGCUUAAGUCUGUCGUUAAAGCUCAAAACUCAACCCUGAAAUGUCGACGGAAACUGGGCUUCUUGAGUGCGGUAGAGGAGAUCGGAAUUCCAGGUGUAGCGGUGAAAUGCGUAGAUAUCUGGAAGAACGCCAAAGGCGAAGGCAGAUCUCUGGGCCGUUACUGACGCUGAGACGCGAAAGCUAGGGGAGCAAAC
Molecule: ribosomal RNA, 250 nt
Filed under: uncultured bacterium
Lineage: Bacteria
Description: partial 16S ribosomal RNA
Rfam family: Bacterial small subunit ribosomal RNA
Source: RNAcentral